CACGUAGGGUGCGAGCGUUGUCCGGAUUUAUUGGGCGUAAAGAGCGUGUAGGCGGCCAGGUAGGUCCGUUGUGAAAACUCGAGGCUCAACCUCGAGACGUCGGCGGAAACCCUCUGGCUAGAGUCCGGAAGAGGAGAGUGGAAUUCCUGGUGUAGCGGUGAAAUGCGCAGAUAUCAGGAAGAACACCCGUGGCGAAAGCGGCUCUCUGGAACGGUACUGACGCUGAGACGCGAAAGCGUGGGGAGCGAACAGG
RNAcentral lists this ribosomal RNA (253 nucleotides) under uncultured bacterium. RNAcentral describes it as "partial 16S ribosomal RNA". It matches the Rfam family "Bacterial small subunit ribosomal RNA", at positions 524 to 776 of the family's 1533-position model. The record is from RNAcentral.